RNAcentral lists this ribosomal RNA (512 nucleotides) under uncultured bacterium. RNAcentral's name for it is "bacterial SSU rRNA". It matches the Rfam family "Bacterial small subunit ribosomal RNA", at positions 34 to 518 of the family's 1533-position model. The record is from RNAcentral.
CGCUGGCGGCGUGCCUAAUACAUGCAAGUCGAACGGCUUUUCUAUGGAAGCUUGCUUCCACUGAGAAGAUAGUGGCGAACGGGUGAGUAACACGUGGGUAACCUGCCCAUAAGAGGGGGAUAACAUCCGGAAACGGGUGCUAAUACCGCAUAGUUUUCUUGAUCGCAUGAUUGAGAAAGGAAAGAUGGCCUUUGUGCUGUCGCUUAUGGAUGGACCCGCGGCGUAUUAGUUAGUUGGUGAGGUAACGGCUCACCAAGACGGUGAUACGUAGCUGACCUGAGAGGGUGAUCGGCCACAUUGGGACUGAGACACGGCCCAAACUCCUACGGGAGGCAGCAGUAGGGAAUCUUCCGCAAUGGACGAAAGUCUGACGGAGCAACGCCGCGUGAGUGAAGAAAAGGUUUUCGGAUCGUAAAACUCUGUUGUCAGAGAAGAACAAGUUGGAGAGUAACUGCUCCAGCCUUGACGGUAUCUGACCAGAAAGCCACGGCUAACUACGUGCCAGCAGCGGC